UACGUAGGGUGCGAGCGUUAAUCGGAAUUACUGGGCGUAAAGCGUGCGCAGGCGGUCUUGUAAGACUGAUGUGAAAUCCCCGGGCUUAACCUGGGAAUGGCAUUGGUAACUGCAAGACUUGAGUGUGGCAGAGGGGGGUAGAAUUUUGCGUGUAGCAGUGAAAUGCGUAGAUAUGCAAAGGAAUACCGAUGGGGAAGGGAGCCCCCCUGGGCCUGCACUGACGCUCAUGCACGAAAGCGUGGGGAGCAAACAGG
This 254-nucleotide ribosomal RNA is filed under the name uncultured beta proteobacterium. Its description in RNAcentral is "partial 16S ribosomal RNA". It matches the Rfam family "Bacterial small subunit ribosomal RNA", at positions 524 to 776 of the family's 1533-position model. The record is from RNAcentral. Lineage: Bacteria; Pseudomonadati; Pseudomonadota; Betaproteobacteria.